Molecule: ribosomal RNA, 460 nt
Filed under: uncultured bacterium
Lineage: Bacteria
Description: partial 16S ribosomal RNA
Rfam family: Bacterial small subunit ribosomal RNA
Source: RNAcentral
CCUACGGGAGGCAGCAGUGAGGAAUAUUGGUCAAUGGGCGGGAGCCUGAACCAGCCAAGUCGCGUGAGGGAAGACGGUCCUAUGGAUUGUAAACCUCUUUAGGCGGGGAGCAAUGCCGGGCACGCGUGCCCGGAGGGAGAGUACCCGCAGAAUAAGCAUCGGCUAACUCCGUGCCAGCAGCCGCGGUAAUACGGAGGAUGCGAGCGUUAUCCGGAUUUAUUGGGUUUAAAGGGUGCGCAGGCGGAAGAUCAAGUCAGCGGUAAAAUUGAGAGGCUCAACCUCUUCGAGCCGUUGAAACUGGUUUUCUUGAGUGAGCGAGAAGUAUGCGGAAUGCGUGGUGUAGCGGUGAAAUGCAUAGAUAUCACGCAGAACUCCGAUUGCGAAGGCAGCAUACCGGCGCUCAACUGACGCUCAUGCACGAAAGUGUGGGUAUCGAACAGGAUUAGAUACCCGGGUAGUC